AGGAUUUCUGGGCUGGCCGCUGCUUGUCGGCGUGCCGCUCGUGCCUCCUACCUUGACUAUGCGUACCCUUGUUGUUCCCUCGGCAGUUCGCUGCCGCCAGGGACCCGUAAACCCUCAUGUAUCAGCAGUAAACUUCUGAAAUAAACCUAAUUAUUUACAACUUUCAACAAUGGAUCUCUUGGUUCUGGCAUCGAUGAAGAACGCAGCGAAAUGCGAUAAGUAGUGUGAAUUGCAGAAUUCAGUGAAUCAUCGAAUCUUUGAACGCACAUUGCGCCCCUUGGUAUUCCAUGGGGCAUGCCUGUUCGAGCGUCAUUUACACCCUCAAGCUCUGCUUGGUGUUGGGCGUCUGUCCCGCCUCGUGCGCGGACUCGCCCCAAAAGUAUUGGCAGCGGUUUGCCAGCCUGCAGCGUAGCACUAUUGCGCCUGCAGGUCCUGGCGGAUCGGCGUCCACCAAGCCACACCCACAGUUUGACCUCGGAUCAGGUAGGGAUACCCGCUGAACUUAAGCAUAUCAAUAGCCGGAGGAAA
This 528-nucleotide ribosomal RNA is filed under the name fungal sp. TZ-2015b. RNAcentral describes it as "eukaryotic LSU rRNA". The stretch from base 159 to 312 matches the Rfam family "5.8S ribosomal RNA". Lineage: Eukaryota; Fungi. The record is from RNAcentral.